GCGGACCGACGGRAGCUUGCUCCCUUAGGUCAGCGGCGGRCGGGUGAGUAACACGUGGGUAACCUGCCUGUAAGACUGGGAUAAYUCCGGGAAACCGGGGYUAAUACCGGAUGCUUGAUUGAACCSCAKGGUUCAAUCAUAAAAGGUGGCUUUUAGCUACCACUURCAGAUGGACCCGCGGCGCAUUAGCUAGUUGGUGAGGUAACGGCUCACCAAGGCGACGAUGCGUAGCCGACCUGAGAGGGUGAUCGGCCACACUGGGACUGAGACACGGCCCAGACUCCUACGGGAGGCAGCAGUAGGGAAUCUNCCGCAAUGGACGAAAGUCUGACGGAGCAACGCCGCGUGAGUGAUGAAGGUUUUCGGAUCGUAAAACUCUGUUGUUAGGGAAGA
RNAcentral lists this ribosomal RNA (393 nucleotides) under Bacillus sp. R-30835. RNAcentral describes it as "partial 16S ribosomal RNA". It matches the Rfam family "Bacterial small subunit ribosomal RNA", at positions 66 to 448 of the family's 1533-position model. The record is from RNAcentral. Lineage: Bacteria; Bacillati; Bacillota; Bacilli; Caryophanales; Bacillaceae.